ACGAAGACAUAAGUUGGAUGAAGCUGGAAAAAAGUAGUUAUUGCAGCUUCUCCCCUAUUUCUCUCUCUCAACUAUGCAUGAAGUAGUUGGUGAAGCUAUUUUGCCAAACACUUUCUCCAAAACAGCUCAGCUUUAUCUAGAAAGUCACUCAUGAAGUUAUUUUCUAAAAAAACAGCUUUACUAGUGAAGUUGAGUUGUGCCAAACAAACCCGUAUUAUUCACUUGUUCACAUGGGCUCUCUUUCUCUUAUAGAACCGGUGAAGCUAGUUUUUUUAGUUUCACCUCGCUCUGUGAGAGAAGAAGAGGAGAAAAUAAAAGAUCAUUACAUGUGUUUGAAGCUUAAACCGGUUAUAACUUUACCAAAGGAGGCCUUAAAAGUUAUUUGGAAGCACUCAAGCAGUCAAGAAAAAGCUUUGGCCAUCCUCACUGCAGUGGAAGGAGAAGACAAGCUUGGGCUAUUGCACCCAGCUGGAGAAGAAGCGACCUCGGACUGGAUCUCGAUUCUCGACUGCCGGUCAUCCUUGGCACGGACGGCAAGUUUUCCUUACAGAUGAUAUAUCAUGUCCAUACGACUAAUCAAGUUUUUUGAUAGACUAUACUAAACUUUAGUACAUGUUUUGGAUACCAAAUAGAAAGUCUAAACGUAAACUAAUCAUUGUCUACAAAAACUAAUAAAGGCUAAUGGAUGAGUAGAACACAUUAGAAAAAAAGAUUUUAAUUAGGCCCUGUUUAGUUCCCCACCAAAAAUUUUUUCAUCCAUCCCAUCGAAUUUUUGGACACAUGCAUGGAACAUUAAAUCUCUACAACUAAAAAUUAUGGAAAGGACCCAUCUACCACACCCAUGGUGAAGCCACAACUCCCAUCCCUUUUAGCCAUGAUAGGCUAUCCCAUCAACCUAGGCCCCACUCACCCAUGCAUGCAAAAUUGUUUCAACGAAUUUAAAAUGUCAUAAGUUUUAAACCAAAGAUAUAAAUUAAAUUCUGAUUGCACCAUUAAAUUUCUCAUAACAAAUCAUUCAAAACAAAAUCACACAUGGAUAUAUUUAGAUAAAAUUUUAUUAAUUAAUAUUUAUCUCUACAACUAAAAAUUAUGGAGAGGACCUAUCUACAACUUUCAUCCCUUUGGUGGUCUUUUUUACUGCACGAUGACACGCUAUCCCAUCAACCUAGGCCCCACUCACCUAUGCAUGUAAAAUUGUUUUAGCGAAUUAAAAAAAGUCAUAACUCCUAAACUAGAUUCUGAUUGCACCAUUAAAUUUCUUAUAACAAAUCCUUCAAAACAAGAACACACAUGGAUAUAUUUAGAUAAAAUUUUAUUAAUGAAUAUUUAUCUUAUAAAGAUAAACUAUUUUCUUUUAUUAAGUAGAAACAAUAUUCUAGGUUCAACAAACAAUGUUCUGUCUUUGUAAAAAAAUGUUAUCGAUCUAGAAGAAUAGUAUUUUGGUUUUAGAUUUAUGAAACUGAUAUUACAAUAUACAUAAAAAUACAUAAAUACAUGACAUAGAUAGAAAUAAUAAAAAAAUCUAGAGUAAAAAGCAUAAGAAAAAAAAAUAAAAAAUACAAAAUGGAGAAAAAUUUCAAAUAAUGUCAAAGGGUUACUUUUUAAAUAUCGUAAAUAUAUUUAUAGAACAUUAACAUCACUAAAUACAUUAUAGAACAUCAUUAAAUAUAUUAUAGAACAUCACAUCUAUUAUAGAUUACAUGUAUACUAAGUGAACACCGUAAGAAACAUCAUAGAACAUCACAUAUAUAUUACGUAAACAUGACAUAACACAAUAUAGAACACUAAAUAUAUAGUACAUAAAUAUCACAUAUAUAUAGAAAAUAAAAAUAAAAAAAUAAAAUUACUAAGAAAAAAAAUAUAAAAACAAACAUAAUUAACAAAUGAUAAAAAGUGCAUAGAGCAAAUAAAUUAAUGAAUAAUUUAAAUAAGGAUAAAAAUAAGAUUAAAAGGAAAUAAAAUAUAAAAUAAGAAUGAAGAAACAUAGAAAAUCUGAAAAGAAAAAAGAAAAACAAAUAGAAGCAAGGAAGAACAAUAAAAAUAAAACCAAAAGAAAAAAAAAAUAAAAGGUAAAAUUAAAACAAGAAAAGAAUAAGUAAAGGACAGAAAAUAAAAUAAAAUCGUAAAACAAAAACUAAAAAGAAAUGAAAAAGGAAGAAUAUAGACAGAAAAAAUAAAACAACAAUGAAGAAAUAUAGAGUAUGUAAAUUUUAAAACCCGUAACAACGUACAGGCAUUAACCUAGUGUACAUAAAAAAAAUAAACUAAUUACACAGUUCGGUUGAAAAUCACGAGACGAAUCUUUUAAGCCUAGUUACUCCAUGAUUAGCCUUAAGUGCUACAGUAACUCAUAUGUGUUAAUGACAGAUUAAUUAUGCUUAAUAGAUUUGUCUUGCAGUUUCCUGACGAGUUAUGUAAUUUAUUUUUUUAUUAGUUUCUAAAAAUUUCUCCCGACAUCCUUCCGACAUAUCCGAUGUGACACCCAAAAAUUUUUUAUCUCCAAUCUAAACAGGGCCUUAGCCUAUGUUUAUCCUGUUAUUCAAUGACGGACUAAACUUUACUCCAGUGAUCCAAACAGUCCCUGGCUAGUCAUUUCUCUACAACUAAAAGAUAUGAAGAGAACCCAUCUACCACAUCCAUGGUGAAGCCACAACUCCCUUUUUACUAUAUCAUGAUAGGCUAUCCCAUCAACCCAAGCCCCACUCAGCUAUGCAUGCAAAAUUGUUUUAGUGAAUUAAAAAAAGUCAUAACUUUUAAACCGAAGAUAUAAAUUAAAUUUUGAUUACACCAUUAAAUUUCUUAUAACAAAUCCUUUAAAACAAGAUCACACAUGGAUAUAUUUAGGUAAAAUUUUAUUAAUAAAUAUUUAUCUUUACAACUAAAAAUUAUGGAGAGGAUCCGUGCACAACUCUUAUCCCUUUGGUGGUCUUUUUUACUGUGCGAUGACACGCUAUCUUAUCAACCUAGGCCCCACUCACCUAUGCAUGCAAAAUUGUUUUAACGAAUUAAAAAAAGUCAUAACUCAUAAACCAAAGAUAUAAAUUAAAUUCUGAUUGCACCAUUAAAUUUCUUAUAAACAAUCCUUCAAAACAAGAUCACACAUGGAUAUAUUUAGAUAAAAUUUUAUUAAUGAAUAUUUAUCUUAUAAAGAUAAAAUAUUUUCUUUUACUAAGUAGAGACAAUAUUCUAGGUUCAACCGACAAUGUUCUGUCUUUGUAAAAAAAUGUUAUGGAUUUUGAAUAAUAGUAUUUUGGUUGUAGGUUUACGAAACUGAUAUUACAAUAUACAUAAAAAUACAUAAAUACAUGAUAUAGAUAAAAAUAAUAAUAAAAUCUAGAGUAAAAAGCAUAAAAAAAAUAAAAACACAAAAUGGAGAAAAUUUUCAAAUAAUGUCAAAGGGUUACUUUUCAAAUAUCGUAAAUAUAUUUAUAGAACAUUAACAUCACUAAAUACAUCAUAGAACAUCAUUAAAUAUAUUAUAGAACAUUACAUCUAUUAUAGAUUACAUGUAUACUAAGUGAACAUCAUAAGAAACAUCAUAAAAUAUCACAUAUAUACUACGUAAACAUGACAUUACACAACAU
RNAcentral lists this long non-coding RNA (3584 nucleotides) under Sorghum bicolor (sorghum). Its description in RNAcentral is "long non-coding RNA (SBIC_LNC000207)". The record is from RNAcentral. Lineage: Eukaryota; Viridiplantae; Streptophyta; Magnoliopsida; Poales; Poaceae.